Molecule: ribosomal RNA, 253 nt
Filed under: uncultured bacterium
Lineage: Bacteria
Description: partial 16S ribosomal RNA
Rfam family: Bacterial small subunit ribosomal RNA
Source: RNAcentral
UACGUAGGGUCCGAGCGUUGUCCGGAAUUAUUGGGCGUAAAGCGCGUGUAGGCGGCUUUGCAAGUCGGGUGUGAAAGCCCUCAGCUCAACUGAGGAAGUGCGCCCGAAACUGCAGAGCUUGAGUACCGGAGAGGAUGGCGGAAUUCCCCAAGUAGAGGUGAAAUUCGUAGAUAUGGGGAGGAACACCGGUGGCGAAGGCGGCCAUCUGGACGGAUACUGACGCUGAGACGCGAAAGCGUGGGUAGCAAACAGG